CCUACGGGAGGCAGCAGUGAGGAAUAUUGCACAAUGGGCGCAACUCUGAUGCAGCGACGCCGCGUGCGUGAAGACGUCUUUCGGUAUGUAAAGCUCUAUCUGCAGGGAAGAAAAUGACGGUACCUGACUAAGAAGCAAAGGCUAACUACGUGCCAGCAGCCGCGGUAACACGCAGGGGGCAAGCGUUAUCCGGAUUUACUGGGUGUAAAGGGAGCGUAGACGGCGCGGCAAGUCUGAAGUGAAAGGCAGGGGCUGAACCCCGGAACUGCUUUGGAAACUGCCAGGCUAGAGUGCUGGAGAGGUAGGUGGAAGUCCUGGUGUAGCGGUGAAAUGCGUAGAGAUUAGGAGGAACACCAGUGGCGAAGGCAGCUUACUGGACAAUAACUGACGUUGAGGCUCGAAAGCGUGGGGAGCAAACAGGAUUAGAUACCCCUGUAGUC
Molecule: ribosomal RNA, 440 nt
Filed under: uncultured bacterium
Lineage: Bacteria
Description: partial 16S ribosomal RNA
Rfam family: Bacterial small subunit ribosomal RNA
Source: RNAcentral